UUUUUUUAUAUAGAUGAAUGUUAAAUGCUUUUAUGAAGGUUUACCUAAGUCAAAACUUAAUCAUGCUCCUGUAAAGUUUCAAGUCCAAAAUCCAGAAAUUUCAGAUGAUAGUGAUUUGUUUACAGACUCUGAUGAAGAAAUAAAUCCAGAAAUUGUAGAAUGUGGCGAUUUAUAUAGUGAAACUGAUGAAGAAAUUAUAUUAACUGAUACAGAAGAUGAAGUCUGAGAUAAUCAAUCUGAUAAAAAUGAUUUUCAGCUAACUCAGCAUAAAAAAACUAGCAAAAAAACAUUGAAGUCAGAUUUGGUAUGGAAGAAAGAGAAUCCAGAGGAUAUUCUGAAAAAAACUCUUCAAUAUCAGAAUGAUAAUAAAAUAAACGAUGAUUUAGACAUUGUUGAACCUAUUCAGUAUGUAAAACGUUUUUUAAGUGACCAAAUGUUGCAAUUAAAUUGUCGAUGAAUCUAAUAAAUAUGCUAUUCAAAAGAAUCCUAUCAAACCACUUCAGCUCGAUAAAAAUGAACUUGAGCAGUUUAUCGGAAUUUUAUAUGCUAUGAGCAUUGUUCAAAUGCCAUCGACCAGAAUGUAUUGGAGUAAGGAGUUAUACUUUGAAUAAAUUGGAGAAGUUAUGACUGUCAACAGAUUUGAACAAAUCAAGUUAGUUUUUCAUUGCAAUGAUAACAAUAAAUUUUACAAUAAUCAUGGAGAUUAGUUAUACAAGGUGCGACCUAUCAUUAAUAUGUUAAAAGACUCCUUUUCAAAACUGAAACAUGAAGAAAUGUUAUGCCUUGAUGAACAGGUUGUUCCUUAUAAAGAGAAAACGAGAAUAAGAAGGAACGCAUUGUAAAGACAGAAUAUAAAUAUAAAACAAAUAUAGCAACACAUUUUGAACGUGUAUCUUUAUUUUUCGAUAAUUAUAUUCAAGAUGAUUAAUGAUUA
Molecule: non-coding RNA, 934 nt
Organism: Hydra vulgaris (swiftwater hydra)
Lineage: Eukaryota; Metazoa; Cnidaria; Hydrozoa; Anthoathecata; Hydridae
Source: RefSeq, a predicted model, not a curated record